GCAGAUUGGUGAUCCACACUCGACCGGAACAUGCUUAACGAGAAGGGAAGAGUGCCGUAGGGGGGACGAAGAAGCUGUCGGCAUCGUAGGGGAGCUUGCUAACUAAUAAACUACUUUAUCUAAUCACCAAAACAUUACUUUUCAACUGCAUCAUUUACUGCCACGUCGACGUACGCUACUGGGUCCCGCUUGUUGUCAUCAGCUGAUCGUGAUUUCCUACUUUUUUAUGGGCUUGAUGGCCCACUGUUCUGUCCCCGUG
Molecule: long non-coding RNA, 259 nt
Filed under: Populus tremula
Lineage: Eukaryota; Viridiplantae; Streptophyta; Magnoliopsida; Malpighiales; Salicaceae
Description: long non-coding RNA (PTRE_LNC000632)
Source: RNAcentral